RNAcentral lists this ribosomal RNA (439 nucleotides) under uncultured bacterium. Its description in RNAcentral is "partial 16S ribosomal RNA". It matches the Rfam family "Bacterial small subunit ribosomal RNA", at positions 355 to 784 of the family's 1533-position model. The record is from RNAcentral.
UGGGGAAUUUUGGACAAUGGGCGAAGCCUGAUCCAGCAAUGCCGCGUGUGUGAAGAAGGCCUUCGGGUUGUAAAGCACUUUUGUCCGGAAAGAAAUCCUUGGCUCUAAUACAGUCGGGGGAUGACGGUACCGGAAGAAUAAGCACCGGCUAACUACGUGCCAGCAGCCGCGGUAAUACGUAGGGUGCAAGCGUUAAUCGGAAUUACUGGGCGUAAAGCGUGCGCAGGCGGUUUGCUAAGACCGAUGUGAAAUCCCCGGGCUCAACCUGGGGAACUGCAUUGGUGACUGGGCAGGCUAGAGUAUGGCAGAGGGGGGUAGAAUUCCACGUGUAGCAGUGAAAUGCGUAGAGAUGUGGAGGAAUACCGAUGGCGAAGGCAGCCCCCUGGGCCAAUACUGACGCUCAUGCACGAAAGCGUGGGGGAGCAAACAGGAUUAGAUA